GACGAACGCUGGCGGCGUGCCUAAUACAUGCAAGUCGAACGCUGAAGGAGGAGCUUGCUUCUCUGGAUGAGUUGCGAACGGGUGAGUAACGCGUAGGUAACCUGCCUGGUAGCGGGGGAUAACUAUUGGAAACGAUAGCUAAUACCGCAUAACAGUAGAUAUCGCAUGAUAUCUACUUGAAAGGUGCAGUUGCAUCACUACCAGAUGGACCUGCGUUGUAUUAGCUAGUUGGUGAGGUAACGGCUCACCAAGGCGACGAUACAUAGCCGACCUGAGAGGGGGAUCGGCCACACUGGGACUGAGACACGGCCCAGACUCCUACGGGAGGCAGCAGUAGGGAAUCUUCGGCAAGGGACGGAAGUCUGACCGAGAAACGCCGCGUGAGUGAAGAAGGGUGUCGGAUCGUAAAGCUCGGUUGUAAGAGAAGAACGAGUGUGAGAGUGGAAAGUUCACACUGUGACGGUAUCUUACCAGAAAGGGACGGCUAACUACGUG
Molecule: ribosomal RNA, 495 nt
Filed under: uncultured bacterium
Lineage: Bacteria
Description: partial 16S ribosomal RNA
Rfam family: Bacterial small subunit ribosomal RNA
Source: RNAcentral